UACGAGGGGUCCAAGCGUUGUUCGGAAUCAUUGGGCGUAAAGCGUGCGCAGGCGGUUAUGUAAGACAGAUGUGAAAUGCCCGGGCUUAACCUGGGAACUGCAUUUGUGACUGCAUGGCUAGAGUUUGGCAGAGGGGGGUAGAAUUCCACGUGUAGCAGUGAAAUGCGUAGAUAUGUGGAGGAACACCGAUGGCGAAGGCAGCCCCCUGGGUCAAGACUGACGCUCAUGCACGAAAGCGUGGGGAGCAAACAGG
RNAcentral lists this ribosomal RNA (253 nucleotides) under uncultured bacterium. RNAcentral describes it as "partial 16S ribosomal RNA". It matches the Rfam family "Bacterial small subunit ribosomal RNA", at positions 524 to 776 of the family's 1533-position model. The record is from RNAcentral.